Molecule: long non-coding RNA, 907 nt
Organism: Lepidothrix coronata (blue-crowned manakin)
Lineage: Eukaryota; Metazoa; Chordata; Aves; Passeriformes; Pipridae
Exons: 7
Source: RefSeq, a predicted model, not a curated record
CACAAUAUGUUAGCACUCUUUUGUGCUGUAAACCUAGUAGGCACACUAUCAUGAUAGCUGGAGAUGACAUUUUUUGGUAAGAACGUGCCUAUUCACUCCUCACAUCAUGAUUUCCAGAUUCUCCCUCAGAUUUAUACUGCAGCUCUGAAGCUCUUCAGUGAAAUAUGCUUAAAGUCUUGCUCAUACCUCCCUGGAGCUACACACUGGAGAGCACAGCCGUGUGUGCUGCACAGCUUGGGUACCAGAGCAGAUGCUUCUGCACUGACUGUUCAUGUGGAAGACAGAAUACGGCAGCUGAUGCAUUUAUCUCCUUUAUUUUGUGCGACUCAGGCACAAAGGGGUUUUCUCACCAAACUGAUCACAGGAUGACAGUAUGAAUAACAAAGUAUGCUUUUGCACUGUCUCCACUGCUGAAGAUAAAUUGUAAAAAUCAUUCUCAUGUUGCAGGAUUUUCACAAGUACCCCCAAAUGUUAUUUUCUGAAGAAAUGAAACCAUGUGGCUUUGCCAGAUUUUUGAUGGAAUUACCAGCAUGCCAAUUCCCAGUCCAAACACACUGAGCCAAUUAUAUCUCCAAGAAGUCACCAGAAGAAACCUCCUGAAAGUCCCAAGCAGCUUUAUGUUAGUGGAAAUGCAUUCAAGAGUAAGGAAAAGCAGUUGGAUUAUACCAGCAAAUACCUCAGGAAGGCAGAACUAAUUGCUUCAAUUAUUACUGGAGAGCCAGCAGUUCUCAGACUCUUGCUACACAAUACUAUACAUGUGACAUUCUGAUGUUGCUUCAGGAACUGAAUCUCAAUCCCAAGGGUGUUGCUCAAAGGACCACUGGAAAGGUCAGAAAGCGAACCUCUGAGACACGACAGAACUCUGUAGAGAAGUUUUUGGUAUUCAGUACAUGGACUGGAUGGCAUU